Molecule: ribosomal RNA, 254 nt
Filed under: uncultured bacterium
Lineage: Bacteria
Description: partial 16S ribosomal RNA
Rfam family: Bacterial small subunit ribosomal RNA
Source: RNAcentral
UACGUAGGGCGCAAGCGUUGUCCGGAAUUAUUGGGCGUAAAGAGCUCGUAGGCGGUCUGUCGCGUCCGUCGUGAAAGCCCACAGCUUAACUGUGGGUCUGCGGUGGAUACGGGCAGACUAGAGGCAGGUAGGGGAGAACGGAAUUCCCGGUGUAGCGGUGAAAUGCGCAGAUAUCGGGAGGAACACCAGUGGCGAAGGCGACUACCUGGCCUGUUUCUUGACGCUGAGGCGCGAAAGCUAGGGGAGCAAACGGG